AGUGGCGAACGGGUGAGUAACACAUCGGAACGUGUCCAGUUGUGGGGGAUAACCAGUCGAAAGACUGGCUAAUACCGCAUGAUGGCGACCAAAGCGGCGCGAUUGGAGCGGCCGAUGUCCGAUUAGCUAGUUGGUGGGGUAAAGGCCUACCAAGGCGACGAUCGGUAGCUGGUCUGAGAGGAUGAUCAGCCACACUGGGACUGAGACACGGCCCAGACUCCUACGGGAGGCAGCAGUGGGGAAUUUUGGACAAUGGGGGCAACCCUGAUCCAGCCAUGCCGCGUGAGUGAAGAAGGCCUUCGGGUUGUAAAGCUCUUUCGGUGGGAACGAAUGACGGUACUCACAGAAGAAGCACCGGCUAAC
RNAcentral lists this ribosomal RNA (363 nucleotides) under uncultured soil bacterium. RNAcentral describes it as "bacterial SSU rRNA". It matches the Rfam family "Bacterial small subunit ribosomal RNA", at positions 94 to 501 of the family's 1533-position model. The record is from RNAcentral.